This 468-nucleotide ribosomal RNA is filed under the name uncultured bacterium. RNAcentral describes it as "partial 16S ribosomal RNA". It matches the Rfam family "Bacterial small subunit ribosomal RNA", at positions 28 to 507 of the family's 1533-position model. The record is from RNAcentral.
GACGAACGCUGGCGGCGUGCUUAACACAUGCAAGUCGAACGGAAAGGCCCUGCUUUUGUGGGGUGCUCGAGUGGCGAACGGGUGAGUAACACGCGAGUAACCUGCCCUUGACUUUGGGAUAACUUCAGGAAACUGGGGCUAAUACCGGAUAGGAGCCCCUGCUGCAUGGUGGGGGUUGGAAAGUUUCGGCGGUUGGGGAUGGACUCGCGGCUUAUCAGCUUGUUGGUGGGGUAGUGGCUUACCAAGGCUUUGACGGGUAGCCGGCCUGAGGGGGUGACCGGCCACAUUGGGACUGAGAUACGGCCCAGACUCCUACGGGAGGCAGCAGUGGGGAAUAUUGCACAAUGGGCGGAAGCCUGAUGCAGCAACGCCGCGUGCGGGAUGACGGCCUUCGGGUUGUAAACCGCUUUCGCCUGUGACGAAGCGUGAGUGACGGUAAUGGGUAAAGAAGCACCGGCUAACUACGUG